GGUCAGUCGAUAAGACCUAAAACAGUCAGUCGGAAGCGAGCAGUUACAGGCUUAAAACAACUUA
Molecule: regulatory RNA element, 64 nt
Rfam family: GP20-b RNA
Source: Rfam